GUGCUUGCUUCGGCAGCACAUAUACUAAAAUUGGAACGUUAUAGAGAACAUUAGCAUGGCCCCUGCGCAAGGAUAACACGCAAAUUCAUGAAGCAUUUUUU
Molecule: small nuclear RNA, 101 nt
Organism: Lepisosteus oculatus (spotted gar)
Lineage: Eukaryota; Metazoa; Chordata; Actinopteri; Semionotiformes; Lepisosteidae
Source: Ensembl